This 553-nucleotide ribosomal RNA is filed under the name fungal endophyte sp. ICMP 16010. RNAcentral describes it as "eukaryotic LSU rRNA". The stretch from base 178 to 331 matches the Rfam family "5.8S ribosomal RNA". The record is from RNAcentral. Lineage: Eukaryota; Fungi.
UGCGGAGGGAUCAUUAUAGAGUUUCUAACUCCCCUAAACCAUCGCGAACUUAUCACGUAUACCCCCCGUUGCCUCGGCGGGCGCGCGGGCCGCAAGGCCAGCGCGCGCGCCGGGGGGGCGAGGGCCCAAACUCUCUGUUUUUAUAGGCCUCUCUGAGUAUUGCUUCCAAUAAGUUAAAACUUUCAACAACGGAUCUCUUGGUUCUGGCAUCGAUGAAGAACGCAGCGAAAUGCGAUAAGUAAUGUGAAUUGCAGAAUUCAGUGAAUCAUCGAAUCUUUGAACGCACAUUGCGCCCGCCAGCACUCUGGCGGGCAUGCCUGUCCGAGCGUCAUUUCAACCCUCGAGCCCCCGCGGCUCGGUGUUGGGGCUUCCACGGCCGCCGUGGGCCCCUAAAACCAGUGGCGGGCUCGCUACGACCCCGGGUGCAGUAAUAUUGCCUCGCCCGGGCGGCCGCAGCGGGCUCACGCCGUGAAAAACCGCCGCCGCAAGGCGCCGAUACCACAAGGUUGACCUCGGAUCAGGUAGGAAUACCCGCUGAACUUAAGCAUAUCAU